This 650-nucleotide ribosomal RNA is filed under the name uncultured bacterium. Its description in RNAcentral is "bacterial SSU rRNA". It matches the Rfam family "Bacterial small subunit ribosomal RNA", at positions 99 to 737 of the family's 1533-position model. The record is from RNAcentral.
CGAACGGGUGAGUAACACGUGGGUAAUCUGCCCUCGAUUCUGGGAUAGCCCGGGGAAACCCGGAUUAAUACCGGAUAGCCUCUCGAGCUUACGAGCUCGUGAGAAAAGGUAGCUUCGGCCUCCGAUCGAGGAUGAGCCCGCGGCGGAUUAGCUUGUUGGUGGGGUAAUGGCCUACCAAGGCGACGAUCCGUAGCUAGUCUGAGAGGACGAUCAGCCACACUGGGACUGAGACACGGCCCAGACUCCUACGGGAGGCAGCAGUGGGGAAUCUUGCGCAAUGGGCGAAAGCCUGACGCAGCGACGCCGCGUGGGGGAAGAAGGCCUUCGGGUUGUAAACCUCUUUCAGCAGGGACGAAGCCACUCGGGUUAAUAGCCCAGAGGGUGACGGUACCUGCAGAAGAAGCCCCGGCUAACUACGUGCCAGCAGCCGCGGUAAUACGUAGGGGGCAAGCGUUGUCCGGAUUUAUUGGGCGUAAAGAGCGUGUAGGCGGCCGCACAGGUCCGUUGUGAAAACUGGAGGCUUAACCUUCAGACGUCGAUGGAAACCGUGCGGCUAGAGUCCGGAAGAGGAGAAUGGAAUUCCUGGUGUAGCGGUGAAAUGCGCAGAUAUCAGGAAGAACACCCGUGGCUAAGGCGGUUCUCUAGUACGG